RNAcentral lists this ribosomal RNA (497 nucleotides) under uncultured bacterium. RNAcentral's name for it is "partial 16S ribosomal RNA". It matches the Rfam family "Bacterial small subunit ribosomal RNA", at positions 28 to 507 of the family's 1533-position model. The record is from RNAcentral.
GAUGAACGCUGGCGGCGUGCCUAAUACAUGCCAGUCGAGCGAACGGACGAGAAGCUUGCUUCUCUGAUGUUAGCGGCUGACGGGUGAGUAACACGUGGAUAACCUACCUAUAAGACUGGGAUAACUUCGGGAAACCGGAGCUAAUACCGGAUGAUAUUUUGAACCGCAUGGUUCAAAAGUGAAAGACGGUCUUGCUGUCACUUAUAGAUGGAUCCGCGCUGCAUUAGCUAGUUGGUAAGGUAACGGCUUACCAAGGCAACGAUGCAUAGCCGACCUGAGAGGGUGAUCGGCCACACUGGAACUGAGACACGGUCCAGACUCCUACGGGAGGCAGCAGUAGGGAAUCUUCCGCAAUGGGCGAAAGCCUGACGGAGCAACGCCGCGUGAGUGAUGAAGGUCUUCGGAUCGUAAAACUCUGUUAUUAGGGAAGAACAUAUGUGUAAGUAACUGUGCACAUCUUGACGGUACCUAAUCAGAAAGCCACGGCUAACUACGUG